GACUCGACAACAUUGGUAUUCCCCGAUCAUAGACCAUAUUUUCAAUGUAUGAGCAUGAUGUCACUGUGAGGUUGAUACCAGAGUGAAAAGGAGUGAUACUGGAGUCUCUGAGAGAACAUAUCACGAUACAUUGUCGAUCAACCAAAAACUAGAUAUAAGAUGACUCACCAACAGAGUGGACCCCCUCCCCCAGGUGGCAUUGGAAACGAACCUUCAAGGCAUGCUCAAGUUCAGAUAAUAGUAAAAAAGACUAAUGGUAUUAGUAUGCCCAUGGAGGUAGUCUUGAAUUGGAGUGAAGACCUGUUGGUUGAAGAAAUUGGUGCCCGUAUCAACAUGGCUAGAAGCCAAUUUUACGUCACAUUCGGCAGCAAACAGUUGGGCGGUCCCAGGGAAAUAUUCGACACUGGCAUAAGGCACGGAAGCGAAGUAAGGGUUAAUGGCCGACUUCGUGGGGGCGACAAAGCAAAAUAUUUUCCUUCAAUCUAAUGAUUGUGACCUCCUGCAUGUGAUUGCUUAGUAUGUGUUCCACGCAAAAGGAAACUGUUCGAUGUGUAUGAUGUAUUCAAUUUCUAAAGAUCCAUAAUUUCAUGCUAAAAGUAGAAUUUCACACUCUCAACACACAUACAAAUAUUGUAGCAGUCCAUUCAUAUACUGCAUGUUGCCUAUUAUCACAUUGCAGUAAUUGAUUUUUCUUGCACGCUGUCAAAAACUUAGUAAUAAAAAUAAAUGCCCGCCAAGUUGAAGCCAGUGUAACAAUUUCGAAAUUCCUUUUGAAGCACAUAGAGACAACUUAAUAUGCGCCUAAUGCAGUACAAGUUCUAUAGUACUAUCAUUUAUGUCUUACACAUAUGUGUCCUAAUUUUGUAUUGAAAUCACUACUCAUUUUAUUGAAUAUUACAUUUUUAACUGAAAAUAGUCUAUUUAAAUGAAUUGAUGAGUAAAUCUGUGAUUAAGUGAAUUGAUAAAUCGUAUUCAUAAAAAAGUAUCUACCUUAUUUGUGGAUUAAAAUAUAUUUAUACAUCGAUAUACCGUACGUGUAUAUUAUGUAGAUCGGUCAUAUAAUAUUUGUUAUUUAGCUUGUACAUAAUUUUUUUCAUUAUAAUAGAGCAAGUUCAUUUGGGUUACAUAUCUAUGACUCAAUAGCAAGGGAAUGUUUGUUAAAGACUAGUAAUACUGUCGACAUAGUAGUAUCGUAAUAACCCUUUUAAAUUACAUUUUCCUGAACUUAAAAGAAUGCCCUGAAAGCUGGAAAUCUAUAUUAAGAUCAAUAUGGGAUUAAUCCUAAAAGAAAUUCACUUUUUUAACUCAUCACUAUACAACUUUUGAUCUGUAAUAUUUAUGUUACCUUGUUUAAAUGUAUACGCCCAUAAUAGGUUAUAAAAUUAAAAGCAUUCAACAUGAAAAUUGAUAUAGGAAAUCUUCAUUUUAAUAUCUUUUUGUGAUAGAAGAUCAGUGCAAGUUAUUCUGACACAUCACCUUCUUUAUCAUUACAAAUUUUAUGUUCUCCUUUUCUCGCUUAAAUAACCAGCAUUACAUUGACUAUUUUUAAUCAGAAUUAAAAUUCUAGUAAUAAAGUAAUUUUUCGAUUAUGCUCAUGACGAAAACAAUGUUUCACAAGUAAGACUCUAGUCGUAUUCGAAACUUUUCUCGUAAUAAAAAAGAAGUAAUAGUCUAACCCUCAUGGAAUUGAAUGCAUUUGAAUUAAUCUUUAUUGAUAUAAUUAUAUGCAAUAGACGUUAUUUUCUAUGUUUUGAAACAAUUUUAACCCAAAUGAUAUGAAGUCAAGCUGUUUUUCUUUUAAUCAUUUGACUUUGCUUGAAUAAGUAUAAUUAAAUUCACAAAAUGAUAAAGCUU
This is a long non-coding RNA of Lytechinus pictus (painted urchin), 1854 nucleotides long. RefSeq lists it as uncharacterized. The transcript has 3 exons. The record is from RefSeq and is a predicted model, not a curated record. Lineage: Eukaryota; Metazoa; Echinodermata; Echinoidea; Temnopleuroida; Toxopneustidae.